RNAcentral lists this ribosomal RNA (345 nucleotides) under uncultured Enterobacteriaceae bacterium. Its description in RNAcentral is "bacterial SSU rRNA". It matches the Rfam family "Bacterial small subunit ribosomal RNA", at positions 355 to 688 of the family's 1533-position model. The record is from RNAcentral. Lineage: Bacteria; Pseudomonadati; Pseudomonadota; Gammaproteobacteria; Enterobacterales; Enterobacteriaceae.
UGGGGAAUAUUGCACAAUGGGCGCAAGCCUGAUGCAGCCAUGCCGCGUGUAUGAAGAAGGCCUUCGGGUUGUAAAGUACUUUCAGCGGGGAGGAAGGUGUUUGAGGUUAAUAACCUCAGCAAUUGACGUUACCCGCAGAAGAAGCACCGGCUAACUCCGUGCCAGCAGCCGCGGUAAUAACGGAGGGUGCAAGCGUUAAUCGGAAUUACUGGGCGUAAAGCGCACGCAGGCGGUCUGUCAAGUUCGGAUGUGAAAUCCCCGGGCUCAACCUGGGAACUGGCAUUCGAAACUGGCAGGCUGGAGUCUUGUAGAGGGGGUAGAAUUCCAGGUGUAGCGGUGAAAUUG